Molecule: ribosomal RNA, 254 nt
Filed under: uncultured bacterium
Lineage: Bacteria
Description: partial 16S ribosomal RNA
Rfam family: Bacterial small subunit ribosomal RNA
Source: RNAcentral
UACAGAGGUCUCAAGCGUUGUUCGGAUUCAUUGGGCGUAAAGGGUGCGUAGGUGGCGCUGUAAGUCGGGUGUGAAAUUUCGGAGCUUAACUCCGAAACUGCAUUCGAUACUGCGGUGCUUGAGGACUGGAGAGGAGACUGGAAUUCAUGGUGUAGCAGUGAAAUGCGUAGAGAUCAUGAGGAAGACCAGUGGCGAAGGCGGGUCUCUGGGCAACAACGUGACGCUGAGGAGCGAAAGCGUGGGGAGCGAACAGG